GGCCGCGUGGCCUAAUGGUUAAGGGUAAGCUAUUCUCUAUGCCUGGAACUCAUGUACUUUGGCUAAUUAAACAUUAGCGUUGGUUUUCGGAUUUGGCAAUUGUUGUCGAUGUGAAAAACACCAAAGAUUGGGAGUUCGAAUCUUCCCGCGGUCG
Molecule: non-coding RNA, 154 nt
Organism: Exophiala sideris
Lineage: Eukaryota; Fungi; Ascomycota; Eurotiomycetes; Chaetothyriales; Herpotrichiellaceae
Source: the annotation of a GenBank genome assembly